ACAAAAAUCGAGGUUAAAAGAAUUAUACCAGUGCAGCUAUCAACUUUAAUAAGGGAGUUUUUCCGGCGUUGCUUGCAGAAGUAUGGUACAUGUGAUUAGGGGGCAUCUAAUUGUAUUUGUUUAUAUACGAGUCUG
Long non-coding RNA from Hibiscus syriacus, 135 nucleotides. RefSeq lists it as uncharacterized. The transcript has 3 exons. NCBI's taxonomy places the organism in Eukaryota, Viridiplantae, Streptophyta, Magnoliopsida, Malvales, Malvaceae. The record is from RefSeq and is a predicted model, not a curated record.